UACGGAGGAUGCGAGCGUUAUCCGGAUUUAUUGGGUUUAAAGGGUGCGUAGGCGGACUGUCAAGUCAGCGGUAAAAUUGAGAGGCUCAUCCUCUUCCCGCCGUUGAAACUGGUGGUCUUGAGUGGAUGAGAAGUACGCGGAAUGCGUGGUGUAGCGGUGAAAUGCAUAGAUAUCACGCAGAACUCCGAUUGCGAAGGCAGCGUACCGGCAUCCAACUGACGCUGAGGCACGAAAGCGUGGGGAUCAAACAGG
RNAcentral lists this ribosomal RNA (252 nucleotides) under uncultured bacterium. RNAcentral's name for it is "partial 16S ribosomal RNA". It matches the Rfam family "Bacterial small subunit ribosomal RNA", at positions 524 to 776 of the family's 1533-position model. The record is from RNAcentral.